This 291-nucleotide long non-coding RNA is filed under the name Medicago truncatula (barrel medic). RNAcentral describes it as "long non-coding RNA (MTRU_LNC005001)". The record is from RNAcentral. Lineage: Eukaryota; Viridiplantae; Streptophyta; Magnoliopsida; Fabales; Fabaceae.
UUGUUCUUAGGUUGGAUAAUUGGGAUUAGGUUUUGAUUAUUGAUUUUUGAAUUGAAAAGUGUAGAAACCAUCGAAAUUGUGUUAAGAAUCGAUGUUCAGAUUGUAGAAUAAACAUAGGUUGAGUUUCCUAUCAAAUUUGGGGUUUGGGUGGAUGAAAAAUUGGGUUUUUGGCUGAAAACUGGUCUGUUCCCGUAGAGUUGUUCGUCGCAACUCGCCACAGCGAGUAAACUUACUCGCCUCGCGAGCUGCACAGCGACAGCAUCACCUAUUUCGCGUUCUUGCGUCUUUUUC